RNAcentral lists this long non-coding RNA (776 nucleotides) under Erythranthe guttata (spotted monkey flower). Its description in RNAcentral is "long non-coding RNA (EGUT_LNC002639)". Lineage: Eukaryota; Viridiplantae; Streptophyta; Magnoliopsida; Lamiales; Phrymaceae. The record is from RNAcentral.
AGAAGAAUGUUAUAUAUAUAUCUUUGUAUUAUUAUUUUUGGAGGCAAAUUAUAAACCUCUCAAACAUCUCACCUCUCAUUUGCCUCUCAUUUGCCAGCUGGAAAAAAAUUGAUGGUUAGAGUGUUGGCCGUUGGGAACGGUGAGUAUGUGUCAACUGACGCAGCUGCAGUUCUUGUUUACAUUGUGGGAUUGAUUGUUUUGUCCGUUUCGAUCGUGACUAUGCUUAUCUUUGCUUGUGCCGACGACAUCAAGCCGCGGAAGAGAUGGGGUAGCAGUGGUCACGGCGGUGGUGUAUAUGGCGGUGAAGGUGCUGGUUGCGGCGGUGGUUGUGGCGGUGGCGGUGGCGGUGGAGGUGGAGGUGGAGAAUGAGAUGUCGUCGGUACUACUUGAUUAUUGGAGCAAUGCCAUUUUGGUCUUGUGUUGAUUAUACAAUGUUAUUACGUAGCUAUUCUUGAUUUUUCAUUCCUUCAAGAAAUUAAAUAUAUAUAUAUAUAUAUAUAUAUAUAUAUAUAUAUAUAUAUAUAUAUAUAUAUAUAUAUAUAUAUAUAUAUUGUGUAUGUGUCGGUUGGAAAUGUUUAUCCAAAUAAAAUCCCGUGGUGUAAUUGUGGUGUUCAAUUAUUAUUUGAUCUCGUUUUAUAAAUGAAUUUCUCAGAGAUAAUUUAAUGGAGUUAUUAAAUGGGAUAUUAAAACUCUUAACCACAAUUUUGAAAUUUUUGGUAGUCUGAAUUAAGAAAAAAUAAUAAAUACUAAUCACUCCACUGGAGUUAUCAUAUGAG